Molecule: long non-coding RNA, 290 nt
Filed under: Ananas comosus (pineapple)
Lineage: Eukaryota; Viridiplantae; Streptophyta; Magnoliopsida; Poales; Bromeliaceae
Description: long non-coding RNA (ACOM_LNC039042)
Source: RNAcentral
AAAUCGAACAGCAAACAGGGAGGCCGGCGAAUAACGGGGCCGAUUUGGUUUGUAUUCCGAUGACUGAGAGGUUGUGUAACAACGCGUGGGAUGCAUUUAAUGUCCUCCCAAGUGUCGUACAUUAAGAUAUACGUAUCCGAGCGAAUACGAGAGAGGUGUAUGGAGAUAAGGGAUAUUUUCGUCAAAGGACAGAAAAUCCGGCCUAAAUCUGUAAAAUAAAAAAAAAAUAAUUUAUAUUUGCAAAAGUUUAAAAUUAGAUAAAUUUUUUCAUAUAAAAAUUGUAGUAAAAA